ACCAUCCACAAUGAAGUUUAGUAUCGUUGUAUUUUUGGUAUUUAUAAUGAUGAUCUAUUCAAUAUCAACAUCUGAUCAAGAACUUCCUCGCGGCCUAGACGACUAUAUUCCAAAAAAAGACGAUUGUAAUUCCACUCUCUGCUUCAUAAUUAAAUGCCCUGGUCGACCAAUAUGCAGUAAAGAUGAUAUUCUCGUACCACGUGAUGUGGACAGGUGUAUCUGUUGCGACAUGUGUAUUCCAAAGACAGUUUUAGGGGUACAAUCGUCCAAGAAACGUAACUAUUUCCACCAACGUACCAUGAAACGUUAUCAAGAUUAAUGGAAAAUUAAAUAAAUUUUAUUGUAUUUACGUUAUGUGUAAUUUCAUUUUGCAAUAAAGAAAA
Onthophagus taurus is the source of this 383-nucleotide long non-coding RNA. RefSeq lists it as uncharacterized. Lineage: Eukaryota; Metazoa; Arthropoda; Insecta; Coleoptera; Scarabaeidae. The record is from RefSeq and is a predicted model, not a curated record.